UUUGUGAUUUUCCGUUAAACCAAAAACCAAGAAUAGGGAGGUAGGAAUAUUAUAAGAUUUUUGCUUAUUUGUUUUGCUUUUGUUCGUCAUCAUAAAGCUGACUAUCAAUGUACUAUUAAAUACUUACUGAAGAGAAGUCCCUAAUUGUAACAAAGCACAGUGGAGAAAGAAAGUGGCAAAUCAGAAGCUUAAUUGAGGUACAAAAUGAAGUGACUGGUAGUGUGAUUUCAAGUGGAUUUGGAAAGGCUGCCUGGAAGAAAUAGUAUGGAAAUAUUAAAAAUAGGUUGUUCUGUGGAACACAGCAUAUACAGAAGAAAGAGCUCCAGGCAAGAAAAAACAUGAUGAACAAUUCUUAACUGCUUCCUGCUGAACUGGGGCGUAGUAGGGGUCAUGCAGUUGAAAUUUCCUCAGGAAGGGUGCCUUUGAUGUCAUUAACAUUGGAGCACGGGCUAGUUGGCCAGUCCAGGGGUCGGCGGGAGAUCUUGGUCAUGGACUGCAUCUGGGGCUCCAUUUGAAGAAUGAUUUGUAGUGGUGAAGGAUUUUAAGUAAUUUCCAAUGGUUAGCUGCAGGCAAAAGUAUUUUUCCUUCUUUGGUGGCUAGCCAUCCUGAGGGGAUGAAACUAUGUCCUCUUGAGGUUCCCCAUUCUAUUUCUUCUGCUGAGUACUGGGGCUUGGUUUCCUGGAGGGGAUUACCCCAUUCCUUUUCUCUCCAUAUUGCUGCGUGGGCAUGGAGGACUAAGUAAGCACACUUAGAG
This 754-nucleotide long non-coding RNA is filed under the name Pan troglodytes (chimpanzee). RNAcentral's name for it is "long non-coding RNA NONPTRT003027". The record is from RNAcentral. Lineage: Eukaryota; Metazoa; Chordata; Mammalia; Primates; Hominidae.